GACGAACGCUGGCGGCGUGCCUAAUACAUGCAAGUAGAACGCUGAAGGAGGAGCUUGCUUCUCUGGAUGAGUUGCGAACGGGUGAGUAACGCGUAGGUAACCUGCCUGGUAGCGGGGGAUAACUAUUGGAAACGAUAGCUAAUACCGCAUAAGAGUAGAUGUUGCAUGACAUUUGCUUAAAAGGUGCAAUUGCAUCACUACCAGAUGGACCUGCGUUGUAUUAGCUAGUUGGUGGGGUAACGGCUUACCAAGGCGACGAUACAUAGCCGACCUGAGAGGGGGACGGCCCCCACUGGGGAGGGACAACGGCCCAGGCCCCGACGGGAGGCAGCAGUAGGGAAUUUGCGGCAAUGGACGGAAGUUUGACCGAGAAACGCCGGGUAGGUGAAGAAGUUUUUCGGAUUGUAAAGCUCUUUUUUAAGGAAAGAACGGUUUGGGGGGGGGAAAGUUCAAACUGUGAGGGUAUUUUACAAGAAAGGAACGGCAAACUACGG
Molecule: ribosomal RNA, 494 nt
Filed under: uncultured bacterium
Lineage: Bacteria
Description: partial 16S ribosomal RNA
Rfam family: Bacterial small subunit ribosomal RNA
Source: RNAcentral